GGGAUAGUGAGUCUCAAUGCAAAGUUUAGGCACCACAGAACCUCAAGUACCCAAAAUUCCACCGAGGACAAUGCUUUCUGAUUAUAAGCUAACUGAUGAGGCAGAAGUCAGGGAAGCACUGAAUGGGUCCCCCGCUUCAGAAUGGCUUGCAAAUUCAUCCAACUAUGGCCACUACAGAGAUGAGUACAUAAGGUACCGCCACUAUGAGGACUUACGUGAAGCGGUACGUUAUACACAGAACACGUGUUCUGUACUUACACUUGCUGCAUGAAAUUCAUAUUAUUUUUCAACAAUCUAAAAUGAUACCUAAAUUCCACAGGAAAGAGAAGAUCGAAAUCUCGUAGGGGCCAAUAUAAGGGUAGGAAACAUCUCUCCUCAGCCAUGGUCAGUGCGAAUACCAUGCUGGGCAGCCGAAAAUGGAAGUAAACUUGUGCGGAUACCGCGUGGGCAAGAUAGUCUUGAUCUACCAUUACCUGCUGGUGUGACACAUGUAAGUAGCUUCCAUGGCGUGAUAUAUUCAUACAUUGUGAAUUUUCAUGUGGUGAUUGGUGUAAUUGCAUGUGCCUAAAUGUAGGUAACUGCUGAAGCUGCAACCGAGAUUUUGGAGCUGAAUGCUAGGUUGAAUGCCGUACUAUUUUCAACUUCAUUGGAAGCAAGCAUAGAGAUCAGUCGCCUACGGCAAGAGAUUGUGAGUCAGUUGAUGCUUCAUUUCAUACUGAUUUCAUAAAAUGAACAACCAUCACGGAUGUUAUAUUGAAAUAACAGACCAUGGUAUUGAACAUGAACGAUGUUAUAUUGUAAUAGGAGAAAUUGAAGAACACCUCGGGAACAACCAUUGCAAGUUCAGGUAUUGGUGAAGACGUCAUAGAUGAUGAUGCAGAACAUGUAAGUUUGUUACCUCCAUUGUAAAGUUCGAUUUAUAGGAUGUUAAAUAUUGCAAUUUCAAAUAAUAUGCUGACUGAUUCUGCAUUGCAAACCAUCAUCACAAAAUUGAACAAAAUAUAUGUCAAUGUUUCCCUGUAUGUAGGAGUUUCGCACAAAAUUUAAAGCUGACCACCUAGGUAUAAAAGGAAAGACAAAAAUUGUGAUACCAGAAGAGCAUGAAGAAGAUGAGGAAGAGGAAGAAGAAGAGGAAGAAGAGGAAGAUGAAGAGGAAGAUGAAGACGAUGCUUGGAUCGACGAGACAGAGG
Molecule: long non-coding RNA, 1190 nt
Filed under: Prunus dulcis (almond)
Lineage: Eukaryota; Viridiplantae; Streptophyta; Magnoliopsida; Rosales; Rosaceae
Description: sRNA ncRNA
Source: RNAcentral